RNAcentral lists this ribosomal RNA (384 nucleotides) under uncultured bacterium. RNAcentral's name for it is "partial 16S ribosomal RNA". It matches the Rfam family "Bacterial small subunit ribosomal RNA", at positions 524 to 906 of the family's 1533-position model. The record is from RNAcentral.
UACGAAGGGUGCAAGCGUUAAUCGGAAUUACUGGGCGUAAAGSGUGCGUAGGCGGUURUUUAAGUCUGUUGUGAAAUCCCCGGGCUCAACCUGGGAAUGGCAAUGGAUACUGGAYAGCUAGAGUGUGWYAGAGGAUGGUGGAAUUYCCGGUGUAGCGGUGAAAUGCGUAGAGAUCGGRAGGAACAUCAGUGGCGAAGGCGGCCAUCUGGRWCAACACUGACGCUGARGCACGAAAGYGUGGGGAGCAAACAGGAUUAGAUACCCUGGUAGUCCACGCCCUAAACGAUGCGAACUGGAUGUUGGUCUCAACUCGGAGAUCAGUGUCGAAGCUAACGCGUUAAGUUCGCCGCCUGGGGAGUACGGUCGCAAGACUGAAACUCAAAG